GCCAGCCGGCCGCUCCGAGUGCGGGCCGCCAAGCCCACGCCCACCCGGAACUCGCGCUGGCCCGCGAGCACCCGCGCGCAGCCCGGGUUCCCUCCCGCGCCUCUCCGUCUACACCUCCCCGCAAGUAGAGGGAGCCGGCUCUGGCUUCCGCCAGCCCAGUGAGGGGCUCCCACAGUGCAGCGGCGGGCUGAAGGCCUCCUCAAGCGUGGGCGGAGUGGGCACCGAGGCCGAGGAGGCACUGAGAGCAAGGGCUGCCAGCACGCUGUCAUCUCUCACUUUCAUGGGUCUCCAUAUUUUAAAAAGCUAAAGAAAGGACUUCAAUUAUGUCUCCAGGAGAAAUCAAGAGAAGAGUCCAAGUUUUAAGUCUGGAUCAAUACAAUAUUGGAAAAAGCCAUGUGAAGAAGGAUGUGUUUGCUUCCCCUUUCGCCAUGAUUUUAAGUUUCCUGAGGCCUCCCCAGCCAUGCAGAACUAUUCUUGGCCUUCCCACCCUACCCCGCAUGAUACAGAUACACUUUUAGGCAUCUGCAAUGGAUACGCUUGCUCCAGCCAAAGGGUAUUGAAAAAAGCAUGAACAGCUAAUAUGAAUGUCAAAAGGAAGUAACUUCAUCAACUGAAGAAUCUGGCCUGCAUAUCACUGGGCAUCAGGGCAUCUUUAUUGAAGAAGGCACAAAACCCUGGAAGCAUAAAUCGCCACAAGCAUUUAAAACCUGAACAUGCGAUAAAUAAAUCAACCUUAAAGGCCAUGUGGCGGGGAGCUCUUUACUCACCACUGUGACGUUGAAAGCAUACAGAAGAUCAAAAGGCAGGGCAGCGAUUAAAUCAAUGAUGAACCAGGUUGUGACAUAGUGGAUGCAAAUUGAUCUUGCUUCAAAGAUAACUUGGCCAGACUUGCUGACAUAAGUUGUUCGGAAAUUUAAAAUAAUAUCUGCUUGGGAAAAAAAAGGUUGAGAAAUAAAAGGAAGAGACAGAGAAGAAUAAAGAAGGUAGGAAGGACAAUGAAAGAAAGAAGAAAGGAAGGGAGACAGGCAGGCAAACAAGCAGGAAGGAAGGGAGGAAGAAAAUCGUAGAAAAUUAAAUAAAAUUAGGCAAAUGGCAACCACUUAGCCUAGUUCAGAUUGAUAAUAUCCAAAAUAUUCUCCUCUACAGAUCCAGUUCAACUAAACAGAUACUGAAGAAGGGUGAAAGUAAUAUUUUCUGAGCACAUAAUGUUCCAGACAUGAAGCUACAUGUUAAGAUUAUUAAAAUAAAUAAUCGUAGCAAUAGCAACAAUAGUCAUCACUUACUAAGUGUUCACUAUGUACCCAAUAUUGUUCUAAGAGCUUGGCAUAGGAUAUUUCACUUAAUCCUCAGUACAUCUCCUGAAGUAGACAGUGUUACUCUGAUUAAAGAGUCAGAAAUCAAGUCCCAGGAAGAAAAAGUAAUUCAUCCAAGAUCAUAUUGCCAAGAGUGGCAGAGUCAAGUUUUAAUACAGAUACAAGCCGGGCAUGGUGGCUCAUGCCUGUAAUCCCAGCACUUUGGAAGGACGAAGCAAAAGAAUUGCCCGAGCUCAGAAGUUCAGGAUGAGUCUGGGCAACAAAACGAGAACUCAUCUCUAUUAAAAUUCAAAAAAAAUUAGCUGGGCAUACUGGCACAUGUCUGUAGUCCCAGUUACUCCAGAGACUGAGGUGGAAGAAUCACUUGAGCCCAGGAAGUUGAGGCUUCAGUGAGCCAUGAUUGCACCAUGCACUCCAGCCUGGGCAACAGAGUGAGACCCUGUUUCAAAAACAAAAACAAAAAACCCACUAAAUAUAAUCUGAAAUCUAUAUUCCUUAUUUUAUAUAAUAUUACUUAUUUCCAUGUAUAAAAGUUUUACUAAUCUCUGUGUCGAUAUGGAAUUCAGCCCUGCCCUGAAGGCACUCCUAUUAACAAAGUACUGGUAGUUUCUUGUGUGAAUUUCUGGGUUAAAUUCUAUUUUAAUGAAAGAUGUAAUUGUUUUCAAUCUUUCCCUGCAUCAUUAUUUAGUUAUAUAUUAUCGAGCGUUUUACAAUAUAUGAGGUCCUCCUGAGUGCUGAUCAAAUGACAUCCGUGUGAGUUUCCAACAGCCCUAUGAGCUUGAAAGAAGACCCUGAGCAGGAGAAAGGAACACAACUCAGCUGAUAUUUUGAUGUCAGCCUUUUGAAUUCCUGAUCGGAGGAUCCAACUAAGCCAUCCCUGGACUUUUGACAUAUAGCAACUGUAAGACAGUAAAUGGAUGUUGUUUUAAGUUGAUAAGUUUGCUAUGCAGCAAUAAAAACUGAAACAAUACUUAUUAUGUCAUUUGAUUCUCAGUAUAGCCUUGUGAAGUGAAAAGCACAGGAGCUAUGACAAGGAAGAUUAGUAUUAUUGUAGAUAACACACAGGUUCUUCGUAUGAG
Molecule: long non-coding RNA, 2392 nt
Filed under: Homo sapiens (human)
Lineage: Eukaryota; Metazoa; Chordata; Mammalia; Primates; Hominidae
Description: PREDICTED lncRNA (TCONS_00191097)
Source: RNAcentral